UGCACAACAACGUACACUGAAAAAUUACUAGAAUGGUAAAUUUUGCGUUACGUAUAUUCCACUUCAUUUUUUUUUUUUUUUUUCUUUUUGACUGUGCCUGAGGCAUGUGGAAGUUCCCAGGCCAGGGGUCAAACAUGCACUGCAGCCAGAGAACUUCUCUACUUCAUUUUUUUUUUAAUUUACCAAAAAUACAUGGGGAGUGAAAAAAAUAACAUUUCAAUGCAAGGAGGCAAACACUGUUCCUCUUCUUCAACAUGGAAAGAUGUACUAUAUGUGUAGAUGACAUCUAGGGGUGUAAUCCUGACACACUGAUGAAGAGAAACACAGGAGUGGAAGACCGACUGAGGAAAAUCUUCCAGAAGUUGGUUUGAGCCUAGAACGGUGUCUGGGAUCAACAAAUAUUUGUGGGCCGACUUAGAUUGUGUAACCUCAGGCAAGCAAGUUAAUCUCUGGGUGCCUUCGUUUCCUCAUCUGUAAAGCAGGGCAACAUGUCCUAUCUAGAUUGGUUGUGACGAUAGAUUCAACCAGUCCAUACAUCUAAAGCACAAGAACAGGGCCUGGCACAGGGUGAGAACACCUAUUAGUUAUUAGAUAUUGUUUUACAGUCAUCAGGCAGGUAGGGAGAAUGAAGAGACUCUCUCUCUCCACCUGCAGCCCCUCACAGGAGCAGCAGGGAUGGAGGCUUCCUUCUAGGUAGAUCAAUAUCAGCUGUUCUGGUGGAGUUUUGAAGACCAGUUCUAAUCUGUCUGAAUUUAAUUGACUGACUCCUUUCAAGGAUCAGAAAGUUAUUUUUAGGGGUUCCAUUGUGGCACAUCAAGUUAAGGAUCUGGCAUUGUCACUGCAGUGGCUCAGGUCACUGCUGUGGCACAGGUUCCAUCCCUGGCCCAAGAACUUCCAUAUGCUGUGGGCACAGCCCUAAAAAGAAAAAAAAAAAAACUGUCAACUUCAUACAUUCUUUGUCGCAUUUAAAGUUUUUUACUCAUAAGCAUCCUGUCUUUUAAUCCUUGUUGUUCUAAAUUUUCAUUCCUUUUUGGUACCCGUACCUCAGUGCAACUAGAGGCCCUGCCUGAUGAAGAGCACAGCUGAAAAGAUGAGCUUUGCAACCAUUCACAUUAGACCAUCCACAAACUCAUAUCUUAAUCUUUCCUAAGCAGACUUUUGACAAAAAAGAUCCUUAUAAAAAUGUGAACAACACGAGACUCUUCAUCGUAUUGAUGCCGGCUGCCACUGAAUACGUCUUUCGGUAAAUCUGAAUUGAUAAUCACAAGGGAAAAAUCUUAACAUUUUAGGAGUUUCCGUCAUGGCGCAGUGGAAACGAAUCCAGAAAGGAACCAUGAGGUUGCGGGUUCGAUCCCUGGCCUCUAUCAUGGGUUAAGGAUCUGGCAUUGCCGUGAGCAGUGGUAUGGGUUGCAGACGCAGCUUGAAUCCUGCGUUGCUGUGGCUGUGGUGUAGGCCAGCGCUACAGCUCCGAUUUGACCCCUAGCCUGGGAAUCUCCAUAUACCGUGGGUGUGGCUUUAAAAAAAAAAAAAAGGUAAGAAAGUAAAAGAAUAUAUACGUUAUGAGAGGAAUAUUCAUGAUGUGUGUGUUCAUUUUUGUUCUUACAUAUUAGCAAAUUUACAUAAACACAUAAAAAAAUGUGACAUUGACAAAUACAAACAGGCACAUGUAAUUUAUUCUGUUUUGAAGCCCAGUGCAAGCCAGAGACAUGCUAAUUCAAUAUAAAUAGCAAAGCACAUAUAACAUAGUUAUGUAUUAAAGUAAUAUAGGUAACCUGAUAUAUUAUGGUAUAAUUAAACUACAUUUUUUUUCUAAAGUGAGGCAUAAAUCCAUGUUUAUGAGGUUAAAAUUAAUUAGAUAUGGAAUAUGAAUAAAUAUAUAAUUGAAAUAGAAGAUGUAACUUGUUCUUAUUUAUUAAAUAAUGGUGAAUUAACUUAUCCCUUGAUUUUUUUUUUUUUUUUUUUUUGUCUUUUUAGGCCCAUACCCACAGCAUAUGGAAGUUCAGGCUAGGAGUGAAGUUGGAGCUACAGCUGCCCACCUACACCACAGCCACAACAAUGCCAGGUCUGAGCUGCAACCUACACCACAGCUCACAGAAAUGCAGGAUCCUUAACCCACUGAGCAAGGCCAGGAAUUGAACCCACAUCCUCAUGGAUACUAGUCGAGUUCAUUACUGCUGAGCCAUGACAAGGACUCGACGCCUUGAAAUGUUAACUGACUUCAGGUUGAAUUCGAUAAAAAGGAAAGCCAUGUGUUAUGUCACUCGAGUUGCAUGGUGGCUAUUAGAUUUGUCUCAAAGCAACAAAAACUGGGGAGUUGAAAACUGCCUCAGGCCUAAAAAGGUGUGAGCCUCAAUGAAACCUCUGUGUUUACCAACAAAAUUUAUCUGUAUAAAUAUCAGUAUUUAUUCACUUGGACAGCAUUAAAAAGAGUCAAUAUUGCUGUCAUGAGUGAGAUUCCAGAAGCCUAUAGCUGUGAUGACACCUUAGAAACUGACUUUCUGUUUAUCUGCCCUGAAAGUUAAAAGGAACAUAGGAUUUGCUGACCUCCAAGGACUGUGCAGCCUGAGAAAAUCACAUAUUUAAGUGCAGGGCAGGAAAUCUAUGUCUAAGGCACAGGAGGUGGAGUGUCAGUGACCAGUGACUUCUUCCCACUAGUCUGGGAGGUCACCUACACUCUCUGUGUUUUCAACAAAGCACUUUGAAACUUAAGGCAAGCAAGGUCUAAUCCUUACUUAAUAAGAGCUCCCAGGCUAGAAAGAAGUUCUAACAUGGUAACAAAAGGAACAUUGUCCAGUUCAGUAAAUGCUCUUGUGGAGCGCUUAUGCUAAAGUACCGUGUGCUGUUUUGUCUAAAUGUAACACAAUCCCAUGAAUGAAAGAUUUUUUUUCCCUAAAUUUUAUUUUUUGGCAAGUUUUAAAGCAAGUUUCUGAACCAUCAAAAGAAAAUGGUGCGAUGGCACAAGAAACAAAACUGUAUUUUUCAAAACAAAACUAAAUUUUGAAAAUAGGUCGUUCAUGUUCGGUUUCACAAGGGGUUGAAUGGCACGGAGCUCCAUGGAGAAUGACAGGAGUUCCUGUUGUGGCUCAGCAGUUUAGGAACCCAACCUAGUGUCCAUGAAGAUGCAGGUUGGAUCCCUGGCUUUGCUUAAUGGGUUAAGGAUCCAGUGUUGCUGCGAGUUGCAGUGUAGAUCACAGAUGCGACUCAUAUCUAGCAUUGCUGUGGCUGUGGCAUAAGCUGGCAGCUGCAGCUCUAAUUUGACCCCUAGCCUGGGAACUUCCACAUGCUGCAGGUGCGGCCAUAACAAAUAAAAAGGAGGAGAGAGAGAGAGCUAUUCAUUUCAGCAGCUGGAUGCUAAUGACUGCAUGAGGACAAUGAUAACACGUGUAAAUCCAAGAAAAUCAUCUUUUUAUACCAAGACUUGAAUUAACCUCACAUGAAAUUGCUGAGUCUGGAGCAUAAACUGAGUGAGUUAGGUCUCUUCCAAUGCCAAGAAACCUGUUCAAACUUUCUGGUCAACAGGCUUCAUGUACAGCAGGAAGGGGCCAUGAAUGCCCAUCAAGCCAUCUCUGUGGAACGCUUAUGCUAAAGUACCGUGUGCUGUUUUGUCUAAAUGUCACAACAAUCCCAUGAAUGAAAGAUUUUUUUUCCCCUAAAUUUUAUUUUAUUUUUUGGAAAGUUUUAAAGUGAGUUUCUGAACCAUCGAAAGAAAAUGGUACAAUGGCACAAGAAACAAAGCUGUGUUUUUCAAAACAAAACUGAAUUUUGAAAAUAAGUCAUUCAUGUUCAGUUUCACAAGGGGUUGAAUGGCAUGGAGCCUAACUCUGCUUCUCUCUCUUUUUUUUUUAUUAAAGUGUUGCUGAUUUACAGCGUUGCACCAAUUUCUGCUGUAGAGCAAAGUGACUCAGCCACAGAUACAUUCUUUUUUUAUGUUCUUUUCCAUCACAGUCUGUCCCGGGAGAUUGGGCAUAGUUCCCUGUGCUGUACAGCAGGACCUCAUUGCUUAUCCAUUCUAAAUGUAAUGGUUUGCACCUACUAACCCCAAACUCCCAGUCAUCCUACUCCCUCCCCCUUCCCUUUGGCAACCAUAAGUCUGUUCUCCUAUGUCUGUGAGUCUGUUUUUGUUCUGUAGAUAGGUUCAUUUGUGCCAUAUUUUAGAUUCCACAAAUGUGAUAUCAUAGGAUAUUUGUCUUUCUGACUUUUCACUUAGUGUGAUAAUCUCUGGUUGCAUCCAUGUUGCUGCAAAUGGCAUUAUUUCAUUUUUUAAUGGCUGAGUAGAAUUCCAUUGUGUAAAUAUACCACAUCUUCCUAAUCCAUUCAUCUGUCAAUAGACUUUUAAGCUGUUUCCAUGUUGUAACUGUUGUAAAUAGUGCUUCUGUGAAAAUAGGAGUGCAUGUUUCUUUUUGGAUUACAGUUUUGUCCAGAUAUAUGUCCAAGAGUGGGAUUGCUGGAUCAUAUGGUGACUCUAUUUUUAGUUUGCUGAGGAGCCUCCAUACUGUUUCCUAUAGUGGUUGUACCGACUUACAUUCCCACCAACAACGUAGUAAGGUUUCUUUUUCUCCACACCCCCUCCAGCAUUUGUUAUUUGUAGACUUAUUAAUGAUGGCCAUCCUGACUGGGAUGAGGUGGUACCUCAUUGUAGUUUUGACUUUCAUUUCUCGGUUAGUGAUAUUGAGCAUCUUUUCAUGUGCCUACUGGCCAUCGAUAUGUCUUCUUUGGAGAAAUGUCUAUUUAGAUCUGCCCAUUUUUCAGUAGGGUUGUUUGGGGUUUUUUUGGUUUUGUUUGUUUGUUUGUUUGUUUGUUUGUUUGCAUUGUAAGAGUUGUUUAUACAUUUUGAAGAUUAAGCCCUUCCUGACUGAGUUGUUUACAAAUAGUUUCUCCCCUUCUCUAGGUUGUCUUUUCAUUGUGUUUGUUUUUUAUGGUUUCCUUUGCUGUGCAGAGGCUUGUAAAUUUGAUUAGGUCCCAUUUGCUUAUUUUUGUUUUUAUUUUUAUCACCUUGGGAGACUGACCUAAGGAAACAUUUGUACCAUUUAUGUCAGAGAAUGUUUUGCCUAUGUUCUCUUCUAGGAGUUUUACGGUGUCUUGUGUCUUAUGUUUAAGUCUUUAAGCCAUUUUGAGUUCAUUUUUGCGCAUGGUGUGAGGGUGUGUUCUAGUUUCAUUGAUUUACACGCAGCUGUCCAAUUUUCCCAGCACCAUUUGCUGAAGAGACUCUUUCCAUUUUAUAUUCAUGCCUCCUUUGUCAAAGAUUAAUUGACCGUAGGUGUGAGGGUGAAUUACAGACUAAUCUCAUUUUGCAGAUGAGGAAACAAACCCAGGGAGGUUAAAUACCUUAUCAAGGUUUUUGUUGGGGCCAGGACUUCCUGAUAUGAUUACCAAAUGCAAUGGACAACAAAUCUCUCUACUGGGUAUGAAGAUGCCAUUGACGGGUUAACAUGAAAGCUGGAUUCCAAAUGAUAGAUAGGACUUUAUGAAGGGUAGGUGGGCAGAGGAGAGUGUUAUUUAAAGGGAAUAGUAUCUACCAAGACAAAGAGAAUGUAGAAAAGCUGUUCGGACAAUGUCAAGGGUCCUGAUGGGUAAGAGGGUAAGAGUUGAAGCCUGAAAAGUAGGCUGAGGCUAAUGAUAAAGGACUGAAACACAUGCUGAGACUUGAACUCUCCCCACGACAUUGUGAUUAACCACCUCCUAUUUUUUUGAACAGGAGGCAGACAUGUUCGAAUUUGUAUGUCAAAUUUGAAAUGAUAGUGGUAGGGCUUGAUGGAGGAUCCAGGCACCUGGAGGCUGGAUGAGCUCAUGAGGGUCUCAACAGUGAGAAUUUCAGCCCAGAUGUGCUGUCUGAACACCUCACCCCUCUCCUAUCCACUUUCCCACACCCUCAAAAAAAAAAAAAAAAAAAAAAAAAAAAA
Molecule: long non-coding RNA, 5900 nt
Filed under: Sus scrofa (pig)
Lineage: Eukaryota; Metazoa; Chordata; Mammalia; Artiodactyla; Suidae
Description: lncRNA (ENSSSCG00005019214.1)
Source: RNAcentral